This 253-nucleotide ribosomal RNA is filed under the name uncultured bacterium. RNAcentral's name for it is "partial 16S ribosomal RNA". It matches the Rfam family "Bacterial small subunit ribosomal RNA", at positions 524 to 776 of the family's 1533-position model. The record is from RNAcentral.
UACGGAGGGCGCAAGCGUUGUUCGGAAUCACUGGGCGUAAAGCGCGUGUAGGCGGUUCGGCAAGUCGGCUGUGAAAGACCAAGGCUCAACCUCGGAACUGCAGCCGAAACUGGCGGGCUCGAGUCCCGGAGAGGGUGGCGGAAGUUCCGGUGUAGAGGUGAAAUUCGUAGAUAUCGGAAGGAACACCAGAGGCGAAGGCGGCCACCUGGACGGUGACUGACGCUGAGACGCGAAAGCGUGGGGAGCAAACAGG